This 1877-nucleotide long non-coding RNA is filed under the name Ananas comosus (pineapple). RNAcentral describes it as "long non-coding RNA (ACOM_LNC016279)". Lineage: Eukaryota; Viridiplantae; Streptophyta; Magnoliopsida; Poales; Bromeliaceae. The record is from RNAcentral.
CGUCUCUGCUCGCACCUCCGCCUCUCUUUUUGGAGAGAGAAAAAAAAAAAAGAACGAGAAACAAAAAGAGAGAGAAAAAGAAAUAAUAAUAUUUUGGGCAAUUUUCUGAAAAUCCAGCCCGAAUCUGUAAAAUCGAAAAUGAUAGCUCAAUUUUGCAAAAGCUCAAAACUUGUGAAUUUUUAAUGCAAAUUAGCCUAAUUUUUACAAUAAAUGAAAAUCAUUGCAAAUCUUUGUUACAAUUUUUUCUUAAUAAGAAACAAUGAACAUUGUAUUAUCGCACCGACACAAAAUAUAUGGUACAAUAAAAUAUAUUCUAUAUUAAUUAAUUUUUGAUGUAAUUAAAUUGAUGUGAUAAAAUAAAAUUAUUGUAGCUAGUGAGAAUUAUGAGAAAGUAAAAGAGAGUGAUGUGAUGCUAGUGUUUUAGAUUACCAAAAUGUUUUGGAUAUCUGAAAAUGUGUGCAUGAUUAUUCUAUAUUAAUUUUGAGCGCACGUAAGAAAUGUUUAUGCACGUAAUAAUCUUAUUUCUUAAUCACCAGCAAAAUUAUUAGAAAUGUAUAUGAGUGAGGCGGUCCUGAAUAAGUGCCGCGAGUUGUUCUUAUAUUCUUAUUUAUAUAUCAAAAUUUUUUUCUAAAAAAACUAAAUCUACAAUCCAGUUUAGAUUGUAAUCUAUAUGUUAGAAAUAAUAGGUAGCGGAAACUUACAAACCAGAUAGCCAAUAUAUCCAGAAGCCCGAAUCGGAUCGGAUUACUUGUUUUAUAAGCCUUCUUGAAUCGUCCUUGUCUCGAUGCUUCUGGAUCUCUCACGUUUCUCGCCUUCUCCUUCGCAUACGCCUUACGCCACGGAUCGGAUGCGGAUCUGAUGCGACGGAUGCCGAUCGAAGAGGGCUACCAGAGUCCUCUUCUAUGUCCACACUCCAAAACCCCGAAAACGUAAGUGGAAAUCCCAGAGAGGAAGAAGAGAGAGAAUAAGGAAGAUAUUUCGUGAGUUCUUACGAAUUUGAUUGUAUUCGAUCGUCCUUUUUUUCGGGAGAGACAAGGGAACGUAUAUAUAGAAUAACAGAAUCCCUAAAUAUCCUGAAUCCCACAAAGAGAUUAGGAUAAGAACUAGAAUAUGAUAGAUAUCCUCUAAUAGAUAUGUUUCUUAACUGAUAAGAAACAUAUAAUUUAUUAUUAUCCUAAACCUAUUAGGAUAAGUCCUAAUCGACAUCCUAAGUGGAUCGGGUUAAAUUAAGACCCGCCAAUGUGGACACACCAUAUGGCUACACUAUAAAAAUUCUCCAUCCUACAGUCCAAACAAUCUCUCUAGAAUUUAUUCAGUGUUUUAAAUAUUUUUUAUAUAAAUACUACAACAGAAUUAAAUUAUAGAGACACAUGUUUGACAUAUUUUUGUGUAAGUGUCUUAUUUAUACCAAAAUUUUUUUAAAAAAUAUAUUAAGAUCUAAAUAUAAAGUCAAUCCAAUAAAAAAUAAAAGGUUAUUCUACUCAACCCAUCACACCCAGCCCAUUUGGCCCGAUUACAAACAGAAAAGAAGAAAAAAGAAAAAUCAAUUACCAUCUUUUCUUCUCUCUUCACUCAAUCCACUGAAAUUCUAGACGAAAAGCCUUUCACUCUCCUCCUCUGCCACCGCAGCCAACGAAAUAGAGUUCCGACGGUUACUGAAUACUAAAAUUAAUAUUGGUAAAUUAGCAGCACUUUUUUUAGAUUAUAUCGACACUCUUAAACUGUUAUUAUAUACCUAGCGACCCUACAUAUAGUAAAUUUUUUAAAAGUGUUGAUAAUUUAGCCACAGUAUUUUUUUUGAACUGUACCGAUAUUUAACAGUAUCGCUAUAUACCAUUUUUAUUAUAGUGAAACAAAUUAUAAAACUAGUGCAAAAU